Molecule: long non-coding RNA, 1040 nt
Organism: Monopterus albus (swamp eel)
Lineage: Eukaryota; Metazoa; Chordata; Actinopteri; Synbranchiformes; Synbranchidae
Exons: 5
Source: RefSeq, a predicted model, not a curated record
GGACCUUCUGUCCUCGCCCCCAGAUGCAGUCUGGAUGUGAAUGCCAGCGCACCGUGAGAGUUCUGUUCUGAUGUCACAUUGUGUUUUCCAGGUCCGCCCCUGUGAAUCGACCUGACAGUGCAGACAUACUCUGUCAUGCCAGAUGUCUUGCUGUUGGCCCACACAGCCUCAACUGGGGCCCAGGGGAGAGGCCAGACAUGGCCCUGUUAUGAUUUCAAUGGGAAUCCAGUAGAGCUGUAGUCGGGAAUGCCUCUUUUGGCAGGCCAUCACCUUUAACCUGCAAAUAGCAGGAAGAGGAGGAAGAAGCUGAGGUUUGACCCUCAGGGGGCCAUUCCCAGACAGGGAAUCGAGCACUGAAGGAACAUGUGUGAUUUUGAUAUCCGCUGUGCUGCCGAACAGGAAACAGAGGGCAGAGCCCAGGGAGGAGUUCCCCUAAGUACAGAUUGCAUCAUCGUGUCUCAUGCUGUUAGAGCAGGCAUGCCAUCAUGCCCUGGCGUCCUCCAUUCUUCCACAGGAUGGGGCGAUUAGGAAGGCUGACAUCUCUGGGAACACACAGAGAUCCAGAAUCCUGCUGGACAACACUCGCUCAGUGACAGACAAGGAGACGGCGACACAUUCACACCUGUUAGCACCGGCAGCACGGCCCAGCUCUGACUGACGGCUUCCCUCUGGCUAUCAUCACCUCUCAAUGGCAAAGCACUGUCCAAGCAAACAGUCCAUCAUCAGCACAACGGAAGGCUCUGCAUUACUACAACAUCAUUAUCAACAACUUUUCCACAUCUCUGCUGAUUAGACCAGACAAAGAGAAAAUGUAUUUUGUUUGUUAGGAAAAGCUCACUUACUGGAAUGUGAGCCACCGGGUGGGAAUAACUGAGUGUUUGUGCAAAAGGAUAAAUUAUUGCUGUUGUGUGUUUCCAUGUGUGCAACUUGUGUGAAAGUGAAGCUGUAUGUGUAUGAACUGCUUUAGAGGAAAAUCAGUAAAUCACUGUUGUCUGAUUUGUGGCCAUGAGCAUUAAAAGGGGACUAUAUAUGCUGUAUGU